GCCAGCGUAGCUCAGUUGGUAGAGCAGCUGAUUCGUAAUCAGCAGGUCGGGAGUUCGAGUCUCCCCGCUGGC
Molecule: transfer RNA, 72 nt
Filed under: Desulfovibrionaceae bacterium
Lineage: Bacteria; Pseudomonadati; Thermodesulfobacteriota; Desulfovibrionia; Desulfovibrionales; Desulfovibrionaceae
Description: tRNA-Thr
Rfam family: tRNA
About the family: Transfer RNA (tRNA) molecules are approximately 80 nucleotides in length. Their secondary structure includes four short double-helical elements and three loops (D, anti-codon, and T loops).
Source: RNAcentral